This 1161-nucleotide ribosomal RNA is filed under the name Listeria monocytogenes. Its description in RNAcentral is "partial 23S ribosomal RNA". It matches the Rfam family "Bacterial large subunit ribosomal RNA", at positions 1 to 1154 of the family's 2925-position model. Lineage: Bacteria; Bacillati; Bacillota; Bacilli; Caryophanales; Listeriaceae. The record is from RNAcentral.
UUGGUUAAGUUAGAAAGGGCGCACGGUGGAUGCCUUGGCACUAGGAGCCGAAGAAGGACGGGACUAACACCGAUAUGCUUUGGGGAGCUGUACGUAAGCGUUGAUCCAGAGAUUUCCGAAUGGGGGAACCCACUAUCUUUAGUCGGAUAGUAUCCUUACGUGAAUACAUAGCGUGAGGAAGGCAGACCCAGGGAACUGAAACAUCUAAGUACCUGGAGGAAGAGAAAGAAAAAUCGAUUUCCUGAGUAGCGGCGAGCGAAACGGAAAGAGCCCAAACCAAGAAGCUUGCUUCUUGGGGUUGUAGGACACUCUAUACGGAGUUACAAAAGAAAGUUAUAAAUGAAGCGGUCUGGAAAGGCCCGCCAAAGACGGUAACAGCCCGGUAGUUGAAAUGGCUUUCCCUCCAGAGUGGAUCCUGAGUACGGCGGAACACGUGAAAUUCCGUCGGAAUCCGGGAGGACCAUCUCCCAAGGCUAAAUACUCCCUAGUGACCGAUAGUGAACCAGUACCGUGAGGGAAAGGUGAAAAGCACCCCGGAAGGGGAGUGAAACAGUUCCUGAAACCGUGUGCCUACAAGUAGUUAGAGCCCGUUAAUGGGUGAUAGCGUGCCUUUUGUAGAAUGAACCGGCGAGUUACGAUUUGUUGCAAGGUUAAGCGGAAAAAGCGGAGCCGUAGCGAAAGCGAGUCUGAAUAGGGCGCAUAAGUAACAGGUCGUAGACCCGAAACCAGGUGAUCUACCCAUGUCCAGGAUGAAGGUAAGGUAAUACUUACUGGAGGUCCGAACCCACGCACGUUGAAAAGUGCGGGGAUGAGGUGUGGGUAGCGGAGAAAUUCCAAUCGAACUUGGAGAUAGCUGGUUCUCUCCGAAAUAGCUUUAGGGCUAGCCUCGAGGUAAAGAGUCAUGGAGGUAGAGCACUGUUUGGACUAGGGGCCCUUCUCGGGUUACCGAAUUCAGAUAAACUCCGAAUGCCAUGUACUUAUACUCGGGAGUCAGACUGCGAGUGAUAAGAUCCGUAGUCGAAAGGGAAACAGCCCAGACCACCAGUUAAGGUCCCCAAAUAUAUGUUAAGUGGAAAAGGAUGUGGGGUUGCUUAGACAACCAGGAUGUUGGCUUAGAAGCAGCCACCAUUGAAAGAGUGCGUAAUAGCUCACUGGUCGAGU